UAUAUAUAUAUCUUCAAUUUCAUCCUUUUGGUUAAUACUUUGAAUUCAAUUCUUGUGUCCAUAAUUUGCAGUCUUCAACUCUAUCCAUCAGGCAAAAAAUAACCAACAAUGGCUAACAAAAUUCAGCAGCGAUCUUCCUAUAUUUUUCUUCUUUUAUUAGCUACAUUUUUCCCUCUCGCAUAUGGUGAUGUUGGCACUGCUGCUCACUACAGUCCUCCAUACGUACCAAGUGCUUGUAACGGGGAGGAUCUAGGGCAGUUUCCGGCAAACAAUCUUUUUGCGGCGGCGGGAGACGGAAUAUGGAACAAUGGAGCAAGUUGUGGAAGAGAGUACAUAGUGAGGUGCAUUAGUGCAGACGUACCGUCAACUUGCUUUCCAGAUAAGAUCAUUACCGUUAAAAUCGUUGAUUAUGCAGAAAGUUCCGUUUCUAAACCGUCGAGUAGCGGUGCUACUAUUGUACUCUCCGAGGCUGCGUUCCGUCAAAUCGGUCAACUUUCUGCAUCACAAGUUAACGUUGAAUUUCAGCUGAAUUGAUGAAUUCUUUUGUGGAACAUCAAGGCUCAUCAGAAGUUCCUCAUGGUAGAGCAAAGAUUUUUCUUGUGCUGCUAAUUUAUUGAAUUUCAUACUAAUUGAUUGUAACAAUUUGAUGAUAUGGAAUUAUAUCUCAUUAUAAUCCAAUAGAAAAAGUAAUCA
Molecule: RNA transcript, 693 nt
Organism: Mercurialis annua (annual mercury)
Lineage: Eukaryota; Viridiplantae; Streptophyta; Magnoliopsida; Malpighiales; Euphorbiaceae
Gene name: EG45-like domain containing protein
Exons: 5
Source: RefSeq, a predicted model, not a curated record